UACCAUUAUCUUUCGAAAGUUGAAACUGAGCACAGUGUUGCAUCCACAUCUAUCAUAUCUCAUACUCCUUCUGAAAUCAGAAAUAAAUACACAAAUCAUGCAGUAGAAGGACAUGGAGGGAGCAGAUAAUGCAAAAGUUUGCAUGUCUUAUUUGCAGAAAUAAAAGAAAAGGACCAGACAAUGAAAGACUGAAAUAACCAUGUCUAAUGCGCCUAUACAGUUCGUUGUAGAUCUGCUUGCUGACUGGAACCGAACACUUGUUUCAAGUAGCAUUUGGUUAUUCCUACCAAUUGAUUUAUAGUCAGCACCAAUUAAAAAUAGCACCAUUUCAGAGCCAUUUCUAGAUCGAGAAAAGGGCAUGCAAUGUACCAUUCAAUCUGCAAAAGCUGAUGCGGGGCCGUAGGAAGCUUCCGCUUCUACAUCAGAUGGAGCAAGAACAGGGAAGAGGAGACAUGAGGCGACAUUUCCAUUCCUCAAGACACGG
Molecule: long non-coding RNA, 484 nt
Filed under: Sorghum bicolor (sorghum)
Lineage: Eukaryota; Viridiplantae; Streptophyta; Magnoliopsida; Poales; Poaceae
Description: long non-coding RNA (SBIC_LNC011420)
Source: RNAcentral